RNAcentral lists this ribosomal RNA (393 nucleotides) under uncultured bacterium. RNAcentral's name for it is "partial 16S ribosomal RNA". It matches the Rfam family "Bacterial small subunit ribosomal RNA", at positions 523 to 918 of the family's 1533-position model. The record is from RNAcentral.
AUACGGAGGAUGCGAGCGUUAUCCGGAUUUAUUGGGUUUAAAGGGAGCGUAGGUGGGAUAUUAAGUCAGCUGUGAAAGUUUGGGGCUCAACCUUAAAAUUGCAGUUGAUACUGGUUUCCUUGAGUACGGUACAGGUGGGCGGAAUUCGUGGUGUAGCGGUGAAAUGCUUAGAUAUCACGAAGAACUCCGAUCGCGAAGGCAGCUCACCGGGCCGGAACUGACACUGAUGCUCGAAAGUGCGGGUAUCAAACAGGAUUAGAUACCCUGGUAGUCCGCACAGUAAACGAUGAAUACUCGCUGUUUGCGAUAUACAGUAAGCGGCCAAGCGAAAGCAUUAAGUAUUCCACCUGUGGAGUACGCCGGCAACGGUGAAACUCAAAUGAAUUGACGGGG